CCUCCUUUCUAAGGAUAAAUGAUAAUUAGUUCGCUAAUUAUCCGGGUUGUUGUCUAUGUAUCUCUUCAUUUAGGUAGCUAGUGCUAUAUGUUUCCUAACAUAACCUGGGCUAGUAGCUCAGUUGGUUAGAGCGCGCGCUUGAUAAGCGUGAGGUCGGAGGUUCGAGUCCUCCCUGGCCCACCAUUUUUUUUGGGGGAUUAGCUCAGCUGGGAGAGCGCCUGAUUUGCAUUCAGGAGGUCAGCGGUUCGAUCCCGCUAUCCUCCACCAUAAACUAGUUACCUGUCUUAUUUGUUCUUUAAAUUGUGAAUAUGAAACUAAUAACUGAUCAAAUAAUUAUAAUUAAAAUAACUUUAUUGCGUACAUAAAAUUUUUCUCUGUACGUAAUUGAAAUCAAGCGCAAAAGGGCAUUUAGUGGAUGCCUUGGCAUCAAGAGACGAUGAAGGAC
Molecule: transfer RNA, 445 nt
Filed under: uncultured Alphaproteobacteria bacterium
Lineage: Bacteria; Pseudomonadati; Pseudomonadota; Alphaproteobacteria
Description: partial 16S-23S ribosomal RNA intergenic spacer
Rfam family: tRNA (bases 107-180)
Source: RNAcentral